GUGCCAGCCGCCGCGGUAAUACGGAGGGUGCAAGCGUUAAUCGGAAUUACUGGGCGUAAAGCGUGCGCAGGCGGCUGAUUAAGUCGGAUGUGAAAGCCCCGGGCUCAACCUGGGAAUUGCAUUCGAUACUGGUCAGCUAGAGUCUGGUAGAGGUAAGCGGAAUUCCGGGUGUAGCGGUGAAAUGCGUAGAUAUCCGGAGGAACAUCAGUGGCGAAGGCAGCCCCCUGGGAUAAUAUUGACGCUCAUGCACGAAAGCGUGGGGAGCAAACAGGAUUAGAUACCCUGGUAGUCCACGCCCUAA
Molecule: ribosomal RNA, 301 nt
Filed under: uncultured bacterium
Lineage: Bacteria
Description: bacterial SSU rRNA
Rfam family: Bacterial small subunit ribosomal RNA
Source: RNAcentral